UGUUUCGUUUUCCAUGGUCUAGUGAAAAACAUCUUCUUCAGAAUGUUCCUAUACCAGACUGUUUUGAUUGGGCUAAUCAAAUACGAGAAUCUGUAUUAAAAUCUGAAGUUAAAAACAGUAAAUAAGCAAGUUUACAUUGUUUCUAGUAAUAUCAUUUCUGAACGGCUAAAGAACUUAAGCAGUAACACAACAAAUAACACAGGACUAACUGAAUAUUUUCAAGCCUCAAAAGUUUUGUUUGAGAGCAACUCUAGUCAAAAUGUGCCAACAGAAGCUACUACAAUUAAUGCAUGUGUUCAAGAUUUCAAUACAAAUGAACAACAUGCAUAUACUGUUAUACUUCAAGAAACUGAUCUGCACAAAUGUGUCCUCGUUGUCGUUUGUACUAUUCUACAGUGCCUACAGCUCUUUGCCAGAGAUGUGAAUAUAUUGUAAAUAAUUUAAGCCCACAGAAAACAAAAGAAAUAAAAUUAUGAUGAGUUAUAUUUAUGUAUUUUAAUGUCUUUAACAUUGAUGCAUUUUUUUCAUGACAAUUUUUUCAUAAUUUGCUUUGUAAAUAACUUGCAUGUCUAAUCAUAAACUAGAUUCCAUCAGAAUUUGUAUCUUUUGUAACCAGUAUGCUGUUAAAAUAAAAG
Long non-coding RNA from Uloborus diversus, 635 nucleotides. RefSeq lists it as uncharacterized. NCBI's taxonomy places the organism in Eukaryota, Metazoa, Arthropoda, Arachnida, Araneae, Uloboridae. The transcript has 3 exons. The record is from RefSeq and is a predicted model, not a curated record.